UUAAGCGACUAAGCGUACACGGUGGAUGCCCUGGCAGUCAGAGGCGAUGAAGGACGUGCUAAUCUGCGAUAAGCGUCGGUAAGGUGAUAUGAACCGUUAUAACCGGCGAUUUCCGAAUGGGGAAACCCAGUGUGUUUCGACACACUAUCAUUAACUGAAUCCAUAGGUUAAUGAGGCGAACCGGGGGAACUGAAACAUCUAAGUACCCCGAGGAAAAGAAAUCAACCGAGAUUCCCCCAGUAGCGGCGAGCGAACGGGGAGGAGCCCAGAGCCUGAAUCAGUGUGUGUGUUAGUGGAAGCGUCUGGAAAGGCGCGCGAUACAGGGUGACAGCCCCGUACACAAAAAUGCACAUAUUGUGAGCUCGAUGAGUAGGGCGGGACACGUGGUAUCCUGUCUGAAUAUGGGGGGACCAUCCUCCAAGGCUAAAUACUCCUGACUGACCGAUAGUGAACCAGUACCGUGAGGGAAAGGCGAAAAGAACCCCGGCGAGGGGAGUGAAAAAGAACCUGAAACCGUGUACGUACAAGCAGUGGGAGCCUCUUUUAUGGGGUGACUGCGUACCUUUUGUAUAAUGGGUCAGCGACUUAUAUUCUGUAGCAAGGUUAACCGAAUAGGGGAGCCGAAGGGAAACCGAGUCUUAACUGGGCGUUAAGUUGCAGGGUAUAGACCCGAAACCCGGUGAUCUAGCCAUGGGCAGGUUGAAGGUUGGGUAACACUAACUGGAGGACCGAACCGACUAAUGUUGAAAAAUUAGCGGAUGACUUGUGGCUGGGGGUGAAAGGCCAAUCAAACCGGGAGAUAGCUGGUUCUCCCCGAAAGCUAUUUAGGUAGCGCCUCGUGAACUCAUCUCCGGGGGUAGAGCACUGUUUCGGCAAGGGGGUCAUCCCGACUUACCAACCCGAUGCAAACUGCGAAUACCGGAGAAUGUUAUCACGGGAGACACACGGCGGGUGCUAACGUCCGUCGUGAAGAGGGAAACAACCCAGACCGCCAGCUAAGGUCCCAAAGUCAUGGUUAAGUGGGAAACGAUGUGGGAAGGCCCAGACAGCCAGGAUGUUGGCUUAGAAGCAGCCAUCAUUUAAAGAAAGCGUAAUAGCUCACUGGUCGAGUCGGCCUGCGCGGAAGAUGUAACGGGGCUAAACCAUGCACCGAAGCUGCGGCAGCGACACUAUGUGUUGUUGGGUAGGGGAGCGUUCUGUAAGCCUGUGAAGGUGUGCUGUGAGGCAUGCUGGAGGUAUCAGAAGUGCGAAUGCUGACAUAAGUAACGAUAAAGCGGGUGAAAAGCCCGCUCGCCGGAAGACCAAGGGUUCCUGUCCAACGUUAAUCGGGGCAGGGUGAGUCGACCCCUAAGGCGAGGCCGAAAGGCGUAGUCGAUGGGAAACAGGUUAAUAUUCCUGUACUUGGUGUUACUGCGAAGGGGGGACGGAGAAGGCUAUGUUGGCCGGGCGACGGUUGUCCCGGUUUAAGCGUGUAGGCUGGUUUUCCAGGCAAAUCCGGAAAAUCAAGGCUGAGGCGUGAUGACGAGGCACUACGGUGCUGAAGCAACAAAUGCCCUGCUUCCAGGAAAAGCCUCUAAGCAUCAGGUAACAUCAAAUCGUACCCCAAACCGACACAGGUGGUCAGGUAGAGAAUACCAAGGCGCUUGAGAGAACUCGGGUGAAGGAACUAGGCAAAAUGGUGCCGUAACUUCGGGAGAAGGCACGCUGAUAUGUAGGUGAAGUCCCUCGCGGAUGGAGCUGAAAUCAGUCGAAGAUACCAGCUGGCUGCAACUGUUUAUUAAAAACACAGCACUGUGCAAACACGAAAGUGGACGUAUACGGUGUGACGCCUGCCCGGUGCCGGAAGGUUAAUUGAUGGGGUCAGCGCAAGCGAAGCUCUUGAUCGAAGCCCCGGUAAACGGCGGCCGUAACUAUAACGGUCCUAAGGUAGCGAAAUUCCUUGUCGGGUAAGUUCCGACCUGCACGAAUGGCGUAAUGAUGGCCAGGCUGUCUCCACCCGAGACUCAGUGAAAUUGAACUCGCUGUGAAGAUGCAGUGUACCCGCGGCAAGACGGAAAGACCCCGUGAACCUUUACUAUAGCUUGACACUGAACAUUGAGCCUUGAUGUGUAGGAUAGGUGGGAGGCUUUGAAGUGUGGACGCCAGUCUGCAUGGAGCCGACCUUGAAAUACCACCCUUUAAUGUUUGAUGUUCUAACGUUGACCCGUGAUCCGGGUUGCGGACAGUGUCUGGUGGGUAGUUUGACUGGGGCGGUCUCCUCCUAAAGAGUAACGGAGGAGCACGAAGGUUGGCUAAUCCUGGUCGGACAUCAGGAGGUUAGUGCAAUGGCAUAAGCCAGCUUGACUGCGAGCGUGACGGCGCGAGCAGGUGCGAAAGCAGGUCAUAGUGAUCCGGUGGUUCUGAAUGGAAGGGCCAUCGCUCAACGGAUAAAAGGUACUCCGGGGAUAACAGGCUGAUACCGCCCAAGAGUUCAUAUCGACGGCGGUGUUUGGCACCUCGAUGUCGGCUCAUCACAUCCUGGGGCUGAAGUAGGUCCCAAGGGUAUGGCUGUUCGCCAUUUAAAGUGGUACGCGAGCUGGGUUUAGAACGUCGUGAGACAGUUCGGUCCCUAUCUGCCGUGGGCGCUGGAGAACUGAGGGGGGCUGCUCCUAGUACGAGAGGACCGGAGUGGACGCAUCACUGGUGUUCGGGUUGUCAUGCCAAUGGCACUGCCCGGUAGCUAAAUGCGGAAGAGAUAAGUGCUGAAAGCAUCUAAGCACGAAACUUGCCCCGAGAUGAGUUCUCCCUGACUCCUUGAGAGUCCUGAAGGAACGUUGAAGACGACGACGUUGAUAGGCCGGGUGUGUAAGCGCAGCGAUGCGUUGAGCUAACCGGUACUAAUGAACCGUGAGGCUUAACCUU
This 2901-nucleotide ribosomal RNA is filed under the name Escherichia coli. RNAcentral's name for it is "23S ribosomal RNA". It matches the Rfam family "Bacterial large subunit ribosomal RNA". The record is from RNAcentral. Lineage: Bacteria; Pseudomonadati; Pseudomonadota; Gammaproteobacteria; Enterobacterales; Enterobacteriaceae.